This is a long non-coding RNA of Rattus norvegicus (Norway rat), 529 nucleotides long. RefSeq lists it as uncharacterized. The record is from RefSeq and is a predicted model, not a curated record. Lineage: Eukaryota; Metazoa; Chordata; Mammalia; Rodentia; Muridae.
AAGAGAAGAGAAGAGAAGAGAAGAGAAGAGAAGAGAAGAAUGACUUAUAGCUUCAAGCCACAAGUAGCAUAAGGAAAAAAAAAGAAUGGGGGAGGGGCUUAAGGAUUAUGUUUACUUUCUCCAGUAAGAUCCUUCUCCUACAUACAUCAUGCCAUUUAAAACAUAAAACCACAAUAUUUGGGUUCUAAUAUGGCUGGGGUUUGCUCCUCAUACUACCAAAUACAUCUUUAAAGUGUUUAACUCAACAAUUCAGACUAUGAGCAGAAAACCUUAUAGAAGACACAGAGAAAACAACAACAAAAACCAGCUCUAAUCUUUCUCAGACCCAGCACAAUGCAACCCUUCCUGUCACUGAGGAAAGAACAGGAAAGGAACUGCUUCAGGGCAAGCAGAGGCACUGCCCAGUCAAUCUGGCAGCUUGGAUACUCUGUGGUGUAAAGCGCUUUCACUGUCUGCACCGCACUGAGAAGAACGGCCAGAAACGUGGACUAACAACUGAGAUUCGGGCAGAAGCAGGAAACUCCCAGGC